UACGUAGGGUGCAAGCGUUGUCCGGAAUUAUUGGGCGUAAAGAGCUCGUAGGCGGUUUGUUGCGUCGGCCGUGAAAUCCCGAGGCUCAACCUCGGGUCUGCAGUCGAUACGAGCAAACUAGAGUGUUGCAGGGGAGACUGGAAUUCCUGGUGUAGCGGUGAAAUGCGCAGAUAUCAGGAGGAACACCGGUGGCGAAGGCGGGUCUCUGGGCAACAACUGACACUGAGGAGCGAAAGCGUGGGGAGCGAACAGG
RNAcentral lists this ribosomal RNA (253 nucleotides) under uncultured bacterium. RNAcentral's name for it is "partial 16S ribosomal RNA". It matches the Rfam family "Bacterial small subunit ribosomal RNA", at positions 524 to 776 of the family's 1533-position model. The record is from RNAcentral.